GAUGAAGAACGUAGCGAAAUGCGAUAAGUAAUGUGAAUUGCAGAAUUCAGUGAAUCAUCGAAUCUUUGAACGCACAUUGCGCCCGCUAGUAUUCUGGCGGGCAUGCCUGUCCGAGCGUCAUUUCAACCCUCAAGCCCCUGGGCUUGGUGUUGGGGAUCGGCGAGCCUCCGCGCCCGCCGUCCCCUAAAUCUAGUGGCGGUCUCGCUGUAGCUUCCUCUGCGUAGUAGCACACCUCGCACUGGGAAACAGCGCGGCCACGCCGUUAAACCCCCAACUUCUGAACGUUUGACCUCGGAUCAGGUAGGAAUACCCGCUGAACUUAAGCAUAUCAAUAAGCGGAGGA
RNAcentral lists this unclassified non-coding RNA (343 nucleotides) under soil metagenome. Its description in RNAcentral is "partial contains 5.8S ribosomal RNA, internal transcribed spacer 2, and large subunit ribosomal RNA". The stretch from base 1 to 120 matches the Rfam family "5.8S ribosomal RNA", at positions 35 to 154 of the family's 154-position model. The record is from RNAcentral.